CAACAUGGCGCCGGUUUAUACUACGUGAAUUCGUAUCAUCAAAGGGCAUUUUUGUUCACAAAUACCCGCUUAUUUUACGUUAUAAGCGACUGGUUAGCUUUGGAAAUUAUAACUCAAUGGACAGGGAAAACGAUUCUGUAGUAAAGAGAAAAAUACGUGCAGUUAUUGACUUGUGUGAUAUGUUUAAUAAUAUUUGUUCAUUUUGUUGUGAAAGACGGCCGGAAAUUUCGCCACAUCGCUGUACUGGUUCGACUAGGAUAAUGAGACAACGCUUGAAUGAAAGAGCAGCCUGUGUUAAUGGUAA
Non-coding RNA from Paramuricea clavata, 304 nucleotides. The record is from the annotation of a GenBank genome assembly. NCBI's taxonomy places the organism in Eukaryota, Metazoa, Cnidaria, Anthozoa, Malacalcyonacea, Plexauridae.